GAUGCGCAAAUAGAGAACCAUACAUAACCGGUGAAUAUUUGCUAGAAUUAGGAGGCAAUAAUUACCAUGGAGGUCACAACAAUAGGGACUGAAUAAAUGAUUACUAAUAUAAAAUCAAAAAAUGAUUUAGAAUGGCAUACCUUAAAAAGAGAACUCUACAAUGCAGAAGGUAGCUCACCAUUGAAGUAUUACUUAUGGGGUAGCAGCAUAAAUCUCCUUAGUCUACAAUAGAUUAAAAGUGUGAUGAAUUAUCCAGUAAUACAUGCAUGAUAACUUGAAAAACUCAAGUGGCUAAUUAAAUGGACGCAAAGACAUAACAAACCCGACCAAAUGUUGGAGUGGGUUCUGAAUGACCUACACCAAUGGCUGAGAAACAACAUUGAAAUAGAUGUUCAUGAUAAAGAAAAUUAAAAGAUGAUCUAAAGUGGCAGUGUCCUGAAUAACAAAGCAUAAGAAUAAGGAGAUCCCAACAUAAUUUGCAUAACUGUAAAUAUAAAAACUAUGUUCGAACUGUCAAGUUUUUCUUUUAGGAAAACAACACAUAUUCGUGUUAAGAAGGGAUACCUUAUCCAUCUCGAAUCUCAGUCGUGAACUCGUGAUCAGCAGGUAGAUGCCAAUACAUUGUUGUCAUUCAUGCAGGAGUCAACAUAUAUAUGUAACUUGCUGGUGUGGCCAAAUGAAGUCAAGUAGGUAACAAUCAGCUAAAAUAUAUUUGUUAAUGUAUGGAAGGUCCUGUUAGCUGACAAAACAAACCUAGAAUCUACAGCAAAAGUUACUAAGCAAAUCAAAAGCUUUCAUAACCAGUGACUGUAACAGAUAUACAUCCAGCUGAAACAUCGAUUACACCAUCAACUAUAAUACAGAGAUCAAGUAACCAUUUGGAGGCAAUGAUAUAGUCAAUGUGGUGCACUUUAAUACUAUGUCAUAGUCCAAUGUAUAUCUAAAAAUUUGUAGGUACAGUACCGAAACAUGAGAGGCAUGAAACCAUAUAUGCUCCUUUCUAUCUUUGAUAUUUCCAGUGAAAGUGGCCAAAGUACCCAGCCAACUUUAUCACACAGAUAAUAGAUCUGCAAAUAACAGCGAAAUAAUAACAAUUGUAUGGAUUGGUAAUUACAACUAUGAUACUGAUACUACGCAUGUGAUUUUGAGGUCACCAAAGGGUGAGACACGAAGCUGAUGGCGGAGACCAUAAGAGCGAUGCCGCUCAGCUGUUUAAAAGGGGCGAUCUUAGCGGGGGCAGGGGAAGUCGUCUGAGAGCCGGAUGCUUCGUUCCUUUUUGGGCAGCAGGACGGUGUUGGAGGUCAUCUAUGACGAGGCAUAGUCGUCCCACGUAGAGAUGGCCGGGGUUGAUGCAUUGAGGCUGUAUGGUAGUGCACGACCACGACUCUGUGCUGCUCCCGGCGGCGGCGGAUCUGGCCUGCGCGUUUGGAUCAUGGGGGCGGGAUACGGCGGCGGUACUGCAUCUACAGCGCUCGCUAUGGAGGUUCAGGGAUGCGGCUUGGUAAUGAACCUGGUCGCAGCGUCUCCACCUCCGGGUCGGCCAUGUGGCGAGCAACCCCGACGUAGGCAGGCCGGCACUGCGCUCGCGAUGCAGGGAAGAAGACGGGAACUCCGUCGGCGCCGACACCAGACCGCAUCGCUGCAGUUGGCAGCAUGGCCGAGGACACGGAGACACGGCCCGCGUCGGCGGGCGCGGAGGAGAGGGAGGAGGGCGAGAUCGAGGACGACGACUCCUCGUAGUGCAGUUGACUCCGGUGUGGUUCGCUGUGUUGACGCCGUGACGGAGGAACCAGGACAAGACCUCAGAUCCAAU
RNAcentral lists this ribosomal RNA (1813 nucleotides) under Triticum aestivum (bread wheat). RNAcentral's name for it is "partial small subunit ribosomal RNA". The record is from RNAcentral. Lineage: Eukaryota; Viridiplantae; Streptophyta; Magnoliopsida; Poales; Poaceae.